Molecule: non-coding RNA, 193 nt
Organism: Endozoicomonas numazuensis
Lineage: Bacteria; Pseudomonadati; Pseudomonadota; Gammaproteobacteria; Oceanospirillales; Endozoicomonadaceae
Source: Rfam
CAGCCCGUGAGGUCUGGUCUGGAGGAAGCCACUAGCAAAGCUGCGAGCUGAUGAACAAGAACAUCCUAUGAGGCGUAGGCUGGAGGCGAGUUGGCACAAGACAACGAAGCCACGUGAUCUGACGGCCACCGUNGUCUUGGCGUUGAAAUCCGAACGGCAGUUGGUUGUGGUCGAAGCAGUAAAGGCCCGUGGA